AGGUGGGGAAGGUGGGACCUGGGCCCUGUCAGGGGGCUCUGGGGGUAGCUGUGGGCAGUUCAGGUGAAGAAGCUCUGCAGGAGGCUGGGCUUGAGGGCACAGAAAUAGUCAGUCCAGAAAAGCUAGAGCCUGUUUUUCAGCAGCCAUGGAAAAGAUGUAAAAGAAGGUGGCUGUAGCCUGCUGUCUAACUUGCUAUGGUUUUGGAGGGGUUAGUCUACUGCUGAACUAUGGGAACUGCACUGCACACGUAUUGAGCAGUGGGAGCUUGACUGCUUUAUCUUGAUGACACACUUUGAUUUCUUUCUUGGCGUUUGCAGUAUGUGCUGUGGUGCAGAGGAUUCCAGUUGCCAUAAUUUUCAGUGGAAAGAAUAAUUAUCACAGGGAACUGUUGGGGAGGACUGCAAUCCACAGUGAGGAGAAACCCUACAUGGACACUCAUGUGGAGCUGAAGAAUACAGUUGCAAAUGUGGCUGUAUUAUGACUUCAGACCUCAGAAGUAACUUAGGACUCUUGUGUCAGAUGUGUCCUUCGAAGGAAUGUACACUUCCGGCAUGGACUCAUUCUGCACUUAGAAAGCAGAAAGGAUUUUGUACUUCCUGACUGGAAGGUUCUUACAAAAAGAAGACCAUAGGAGGCAGUGGCAUUGGAAAUGAUGAACAAUAACCCCAAAUGAAUUCUCAGAUUCUCUUCCUGUAUAUUAUAUUCAAGUUGAGAUAUGUUUCAGAUGCUUCAAAUCACUCCACCACCACUUCCUGUGUACAUCCCAACCCCACUGCAGCAGAAGAUUCACCUGUUCAUCCCACAUAGGUGGAAAUUGCCAUACUAAUACCUCAUGAAAGCUAUGUCAGUAUGUCUGAGGUACCCUUAGGCCAGUGCUAUUUAUUUUGCUUUCUUCACUUGGGGCAUAGCUAUGUCUCACAGUAAGUUAAUCUCAACCUUCUGAGUGCUGGGAUCUAAUUACCCUCCUUUAUUCAAGCAGCUGCUACAAAGAGUUGAAAAGUAGAAGUCCCUUUGGUGUCCAUUAUGAGCAGGUUUUGCUGUGUUUCUUUUGCAGAAGCAUUCAUAUUUUCCAAAAAUGAGAGCACUGACUAUCUGCAAAGAAGCUCAAACACAAACUUGCUGUUACAUUUUGAAAAAUAACACGAAGUUGCAUAUAAACUGUCACACAGUCAUAUGAAUAAGCCAGCUCUUGUUUUACUCAGACUGAAGGGAUCACUGCUGGUGGGCUUUGGCCUGAAGCGCUCCCCAGACUGCCCCGAACAGUCGAGUGGUACCCUGUUAGUGCCGGUGGGGGUUUUUGGUCAGUGGUGAGUUGUGUACCUCAUCCUUUCCUCCUCACUUUAAUAGUAAUUCACAUGCCAAUCUGGAUUUAUCUCUUGUACUAUGGUUAUGUGGAUUUAUCAGCCACUGCAAUUAAUUUGUUGGGAGGCUACCAUUUGGUCACAUAUCUCACUGUUAUGAGUUUGGUUAAGGAAGAAAAUAAAUUUGUAGCAUGGUUGAAAUCAGUGGGCUAACUUUUACAGUGACAAUUAGAGCAGUUUAAUCCAGUGUUUUAAGUACCCUAAUGUAGGGAAUUACUUAGAUAUUUGAAAGGGAAAAAAAAAAUCGCGGGAACACAAGCUCUGAAGUCUAUCUGAUCAGUGCUUAAGGACAGUAUUACACAGCUGGAAAAGGAGCUCUAUUUGCUGUGUAUGAAUAGCCCUUCUUAGAUAAUGCUGCCAUAUAUAAAAGUUUUGAAAGUCAGGAGUGUGUCUAUUCUGUUUAUUCUUAAUUCGUCUCUUUUAUUUUGACAAAAUGUUCAGCUGCUGGUCACUGGAAUCACUCUUAGUGGCAAAAUCAUUAGUUUUCUUCUAACUACUAAAAGGACUGCUUAAAAAAUGCUUUACACAGUCCCAGGUGGGAAAUGACGAAUCCGAAUGGGGAUGGAGAUCAGUUGUGCUACACAACUGCUGCUUACUCAGAUAUACAGGGGUUUGUGCAUUUCAUUUAUAUCAACUUACUCUACAUGAGUUGUCAGAAACUGUACUGUACUGUGUUAGGAAAAUCUACCUCUGUGGACUGUGAAUCAGAAUUCCUCGCAUCAGCUUUUUCCCAAAAUUAAACGGAUCUAUAAUAAAUCAAUUUUAUUGGGAGUAAAAAUGUCAUAUGUUGGCAUUUCUAAUUAAAAAGGCGUGUCAGUUUCUUAAAAUUUAAUGUCUCAUGUCUCUACUGGUCUCCUACAGCAGUAAUACUGUUCACUUGACACCUCAUAAAUAAUUUUCACUUGAAGACUUCUAUAUGGAAGACACUUUAGAUCAUCUGAAUGAAUUAAUACAUAAGAAUUUCAUGCAUUGCAGAGAAAUGGGUGAAAUUAAUACCAAGUGCUAAAAGUCAUCAACAGGAACUAUGUAACUUUGGAUGUAACUCUUAAUGUUGCUGUUAAGCAAUAACCUUCACUACUUCUAUUAAUACUUUAUGUAAUCAGGUCAGCAGAGAAAAACAAUAUUGAAUUCUAUGGGCUCCCUAUGUGAAAGCCAUUCCCUAAUUCCUUUUAGGAUACAGAGAAGUAAUUCUUAAUAG
Molecule: long non-coding RNA, 2559 nt
Organism: Cygnus olor (mute swan)
Lineage: Eukaryota; Metazoa; Chordata; Aves; Anseriformes; Anatidae
Exons: 6
Source: RefSeq, a predicted model, not a curated record